GGGGAUGUGGUCACAAUGGUAUGAUACCCUAGAGUGUCCCACUUUGGAGGGGCAAAAAGCGCCCUUCUGGCAACUAGUGGUGAUGCGAGUUCGAUUCCCGCCAUCUCCA
Non-coding RNA from Elasticomyces elasticus, 109 nucleotides. The record is from the annotation of a GenBank genome assembly. NCBI's taxonomy places the organism in Eukaryota, Fungi, Ascomycota, Dothideomycetes, Mycosphaerellales, Teratosphaeriaceae.